GACGAACGCUGGCGGCGUGCUUAACACAUGCAAGUCGAACGGAAAGGCCCUGCUUUUGUGGGGUUCUCGAGUGGCGAACGCGUGAGUAUCACGUGAGUAACCUGCCCUUGAUUUUGGGAUAACUUCAGGAAACUGGGGCUAAUACCGGAUAGCAUCUCCUGCUGCAUGGUGGGGGUUGGAAAGUCUCGGCGGUAGGGGAUGGAUUCGCGGCUUAUCAGCUUGUUGGUGGGGUAGUGGCUUACCAAGGCUUUGACGGGUAGCCGGCCUGGGAGGGUGACCGGCCACAAUGGGACUGAGAUACGGACCAGACUCCUACGGGAGGCAACAGUGGGAAGUAUUGCACAAUGGGCGGAAGCCUGAUGAAGCAACGCCGCGUGCGGGAUGACGGCCUUCGGGUUGAGAACCGCUUUCGCCUGUGACGAAGCGUGAGUGACGGUAAUGGAUAAAGAAGCACCGGCUAACUACGUG
This 468-nucleotide ribosomal RNA is filed under the name uncultured bacterium. RNAcentral describes it as "partial 16S ribosomal RNA". It matches the Rfam family "Bacterial small subunit ribosomal RNA", at positions 28 to 507 of the family's 1533-position model. The record is from RNAcentral.